AAAAGUAGCCUGAUCAUUAUUGAUGAGAAAUGAAGUACCUGAGGGAUUUGUUUUUCUUUAAAAUUGCUACUGUGAAUUCUGCCAUUUUAUGAUUCCUGUCAAGAUUGUGCUGAACUUUUUGAAGUGUUGGUCAUUGAAACUAAUUAGUCUACAAUGAAGUUUAAUUUACUCUUUUUGAAGCUUAUAUUAGCAGAACUUUAUUGCUUUGUUUGUAUCAUAUAUAAUCUGCUUAGUUCUUGAUUAUAAAAGAACGAACAUUCAGCCGUUGAAUUUGGACUCGUGUGUAUGUUCUUUAUUUCUUUCAUAAAAGUGGACUGAUACACUGUUGAUGAGAGCUUGGUUCUGAGUGAUUUAUUUGUCCUUUCGAGCAUCGUGUUCUUUCUGUUCACUUGAGACUGUAUUAUGAAGAUAAGUUUGAUUUAUCAGUUUCGUUGCCUUGAUUUGCUCAUAUUUUCAAAUCUAGAUUUGGGUUCCAAUCCUGAGAUGUACCACAAAACUUACUCCAACAAUGCUGUUGUUCCUUAAAGCUCUGUGAGCAAGGUUUGUUGGCUUGAGUGGCAAUACUGAAGAUGAGUUGAGCAUGAAGAUUAUUAUAAUUUUUUUUUUUAAACGUUCAAUGAUCAAUUAUAUUAUUUAAUUAAAUAAAUAUCUUUAUUUUUAAUACAUUAACAUGAUCUUAACCUACCUUGUAUGGAAUAUAAUGAUGGACAUAUUAUUUGUAUGCCAAUAGAACAGAAAAAGUUGCGGUGUUC
Ipomoea nil (Japanese morning glory) is the source of this 752-nucleotide long non-coding RNA. RefSeq lists it as uncharacterized. NCBI's taxonomy places the organism in Eukaryota, Viridiplantae, Streptophyta, Magnoliopsida, Solanales, Convolvulaceae. The record is from RefSeq and is a predicted model, not a curated record. The transcript is spliced from 2 exons.